CCUACGGGUGGCAGCAGUGAGGAAUAUUGGUCAAUGGUCGGGAGACUGAACCAGCCAAGCCGCGUGAGGGAGGAAGGUACAGCGUAUCGUAAACCUCUUUUGUCAGGGAACAAAGGCGGGGACGUGUCCCCGGCUGAGUGUACCUGAAGAAAAAGCAUCGGCUAACUCCGUGCCAGCAGCCGCGGUAAUACGGAGGAUGCGAGCGUUAUCCGGAUUUAUUGGGUUUAAAGGGUGCGCAGGCGGUCUUUUAAGUCAGCGGUCAAAGCCCGGGGCUCAACCCCGGCCCGCCGUUGAAACUGGCAGUCUCGAGUGGGAGAGAAGUAGGCGGAAUGCGCGGUGUAGCGGUGAAAUGCAUAGAUAUCGCGCAGAACUCCGAUUGCGAAGGCAGCAUGCCGGAUCCACACUGACGCUGAGGCACGAAAGCGUGUGUAUCGAACAGGAUUAGAUACCCUAGUAGUC
Molecule: ribosomal RNA, 459 nt
Filed under: uncultured bacterium
Lineage: Bacteria
Description: partial 16S ribosomal RNA
Rfam family: Bacterial small subunit ribosomal RNA
Source: RNAcentral